Molecule: ribosomal RNA, 586 nt
Filed under: uncultured bacterium
Lineage: Bacteria
Description: bacterial SSU rRNA
Rfam family: Bacterial small subunit ribosomal RNA
Source: RNAcentral
CCUACGGGAGGCAGCAGUGGGGAAUCUUGCGCAAUGGGCGGAAGCCUGACGCAGCAACGCCGCGUGCGGGAAGAAGGCCUUAGGGUCGUAAACCGCUUUCAGGGGGGACGAAGCUUCCGGGGUUAAUAGCCUACGGGGUGACGGUACUCCCAAAAGAAGGUCCGGCUAACUACGUGCCAGCAGCCGCGGUAAUACGUAGGGACCGAGCGUUGUCCGGAAUCAUUGGGCGUAAAGAGCGUGUAGGCGGCCUAGUAGGUCUCGUGUGAAAUCCCGUGGCUCAACCACGGACACGCACGGGAAACCCCUAGGCUCGAGUCCGGAAGAGGAGAGCGGAAUUCCUGGUGUAGCGGUGAAAUGCGCAGAUAUCAGGAAGAACACCCGUAGCGAAGGCGGCUCUCUGGGACGGUACUGACGCUGAGACGCGAAAGCGUGGGGAGCAAACAGGAUUAGAUACCCUGGUAGUCCACGCCGUAAACGAUGGAUGCUAGGUGUGGGAGGUGUCGACUCCUCCCGUGCCGAAGCUAACGCAUUAAGCAUCCCGCCUGGGGAGUACGGCCGCAAGGCUAAAACUCAAAGGAAUUGACGG